GUGCUUGCUUCGGCAGCACAUAUACUAAAAUUGGAACGAUACAGAAAUUAGCAUGGCCCCUGCUCAAGGAUGACACGCAAAUUCGUGAAGAGUUCCAUAUUUUU
Molecule: small nuclear RNA, 104 nt
Filed under: Sorex araneus (European shrew)
Lineage: Eukaryota; Metazoa; Chordata; Mammalia; Eulipotyphla; Soricidae
Source: RNAcentral